This 274-nucleotide ribosomal RNA is filed under the name uncultured bacterium. RNAcentral's name for it is "partial 16S ribosomal RNA". It matches the Rfam family "Bacterial small subunit ribosomal RNA", at positions 523 to 796 of the family's 1533-position model. The record is from RNAcentral.
AUACAGAGGGUGCGAGCGUUAAUCGGAAUUACUGGGCGUAAAGCGCGCGUAGGCGGUCUAUUAAGUCAGAUGUGAAAUCCCAGGGCUCAACCUUGGAACUGCAUCUGAUACUGGUAGACUAGAGUUAUGGAGAGGGAAGUAGAAUUUCAGGUGUAGCGGUGAAAUGCAUAGAGAUCUGAAGGAAUACCAGUGGCGAAGGCGACUUCCUGGCCAAAAACUGACGCUGAGGUGCGAAAGCGUGGGUAGCAAACAGGAUUAGAAACCCUAGUAGUCC